ACCCCGUUGACGGAUUGAACGCUAACUGUGAGCGAGACACAGGCGGGGU
Molecule: non-coding RNA, 49 nt
Filed under: unclassified sequences
Description: DUF2693-FD RNA
Rfam family: DUF2693-FD RNA
About the family: DUF2693-FD RNA is a non-coding RNA (ncRNA) recognised in Bacteroides by a bioinformatic analisis by Zasha Weinberg.
Source: Rfam by way of RNAcentral